RNAcentral lists this ribosomal RNA (492 nucleotides) under uncultured bacterium. RNAcentral describes it as "partial 16S ribosomal RNA". It matches the Rfam family "Bacterial small subunit ribosomal RNA", at positions 29 to 507 of the family's 1533-position model. The record is from RNAcentral.
AGUGAACGCUGGCGGUAGGCCUAACACAUGCAAGUCGAACGGCCGCACAGUAAGCUCUUGCCCUUACGGUUGGCGACUGGCGGGCGGGUGAGGCAUACAUAGGCAUCUUCUUUUUCGUGGGGGAUUACGUGGGGCCACUUCCGCUACUACCGCAUAUGAUGUACCGGUGAGAGCAGGAGAUCUUCACACCUUUCCCGAUUGUUUGAGCCGAUGUCGGAUUAGCUAGUUGGCGAGGUAAAGUCCCACCAAGGCGACGAUCCGUAGCUGGUCUGAGAGGAUGAUCGGCCACACUGGAACUGAGACACGGUCCAGACUCCUACGGGAGGCAGCAGUGGGGAAUAUUGGACAAUGGGCGAAAGCCUGAUCCAGCAAUACCGCGUGGGUGAAGAAGGCCUUCGGGUUGUAAAGCCCUGUUGUUGGGAAAGAAAAGCAGUGGGUUAAUACCCCGAUGUUCUGACGGUACCCAAAGAAUAAGCAACGGCUAACUACGUG